RNAcentral lists this ribosomal RNA (497 nucleotides) under uncultured bacterium. Its description in RNAcentral is "partial 16S ribosomal RNA". It matches the Rfam family "Bacterial small subunit ribosomal RNA", at positions 28 to 507 of the family's 1533-position model. The record is from RNAcentral.
GAUGAACGCUGGCGGCGUGCCUAAUACAUGCAAGUCGAGCGAACGGACGCUAAGCUUGCUUCUCUGAUGUUUGCGGCUGGCGUGUGAGUAACACGUGGAUCACCUACCUAUCUUACUGGGAUAACUUCGGGAAACCGGCUCUAAUACCGUAUAAUAUUUUGCACCGCAUGGUUCAAAAGUGCAAUACGGCCUUUCUGUCACUUCUAGAUGGUUCCGGGCUGCAUUAGCUAGUUGGUACGUUCACGGCCUACCACGGCGACUAUGCCUAGCCGAACUGAGAGGGUGAUAGGCCACACUGGAACGGAGACACGGUCCAGGCUACUAAGGGAGGCAGCAGUAGGGAAUGUGAGGCAAAGGGCGAAAGCCUGACACAGCGAGGCGGCGUGAGUGAUGAAGGCCUUCGGAGCGUAAAGCCCUGUUAUUGGGGAAGAACAUAUGUGGAAGUAGAUGUGGAGAGCGUGACGGUACCUAAUCAAAAAGCAACGGCUAACUACGUG